Molecule: long non-coding RNA, 634 nt
Organism: Eptesicus fuscus (big brown bat)
Lineage: Eukaryota; Metazoa; Chordata; Mammalia; Chiroptera; Vespertilionidae
Exons: 3
Source: RefSeq, a predicted model, not a curated record
UGGCCGCCCCGGUGCCCUCAGCCCUUUCUUCCAAGCCGCCUGCCCAGGACCUGGCCUCCUCUCACUGCAGUGCCCCUGCUCUGGCCUCUGCUGGCUCACGCCCAGUCUCAACUCUUUGCCUGUCCCCUCUCUGUUUCCCCCAGGUAUCUUCCUCCUCUAGCUCUCAAACCCUUCCUCCUCUCUGGUCACCAGCACUACUGCCCUACCAUUAAACAUGAACUGAGCUAUCAGCACAACAGCCACCACCUACUGUGCGCCUACUGUGUACCAGGCUGAGGCCUUCACAGAUGAUAACACUGGAUCCGACUUGAAAGACAUCAGAGGACAAGGCAAAAGCAUGAGAGGAGGGGCAUGCUGGGCCGAGGAACAGCCUGGGUGAAGGUGUGGAGAUUUGAAGGUGCACAGCAAGGCUGAGGACCUGCAACGGCAGCCCCGAGUCUAUGUUUCUGGGAUGGAUGUGUCAAGGAAAAAAAAAGAGGCUGAAGUUGAAAAAUUCCAACUCAACACAUGUCCUCCAGCCCUAGGAGACGUGACAAGGGAUUAAAACGCCUUUUCUCCUCAUUUGCCCAGCAUCUCGGGAGAAAGCGAAAUUGCAUUCCCGUCAGGGCUAUUCCAGGCACCUGCUGGCUACGAA